AGGCCAAUUGAGAGACUGCGUCAUCGAUUGCCAAAUGCGAUCUGGAAAUUGGAUUUAACUUGGAUUUCCCCAGCUUCGUUUUGUUAGCUUACUUUAAACCAGAUAUCACAGCACAGAUAUCGAGUUUGGCCCGGGGGCCAGUUUCAAGAGCAAGUGCUGACCUUCCCGGGAGUUAACCGUGUAGUGCAGUGUAAUUAUAGCCACUAACCCAUUCACAUUCCCGCUGGCUGCUGUUGUUGCACAGAAGGCGAGCGUCUGGAUAAAAGAGCCCAUCAGUUCAUACCAUCUGAUUAUGCACCUCAAGAAAUAAAUAAGUACAUAAGAUUUGCAGAUAAUAGUAUUGGAACAAACACACGUGCACGAUAUGGACACUACUCCAGACAAAUUAGCCUGCGGUUAGCUGUGGAUGCAUUCGAAGAUCGCAUGAUCGUACAGCCGUUUUUCAUGGCUUCGUUUGGCAGUUGACACGUUAAGAGCACGCACGUUUGCCGGCCAUUUAAGUGGCCCCAGCAUCGCAUCUUGGCCAUUGCCACUGGCCAGAAGAUGGAGGAGCCGAUAAAGCGGAGAGCGGCAUUUGACAGUUAUGACCACUUGCUUUAUUUUUAGAGCCAAAAACGGCUAGGCCAGUUGGCAGCAGUUCGCAACAGCAGCACAAAGCAAAAUCACAGUAAAAGCAAAAGCAAAGCGAAGCAAAGCCGGCCGGCACCCACGGACUGGCUAAAAACAACAAACGCGGCCAAAAGCAACUGAACUGGUUUCGGUUUGCGACGAUGACUCGCAAGCCCAUCUAAGAGCUCCCAAAUAAAUAUCCCCUUUCCGCGCCAUGAU
Long non-coding RNA from Drosophila sechellia, 828 nucleotides. RefSeq lists it as uncharacterized. The record is from RefSeq and is a predicted model, not a curated record. NCBI's taxonomy places the organism in Eukaryota, Metazoa, Arthropoda, Insecta, Diptera, Drosophilidae. The transcript is spliced from 2 exons.